UACGGAGGGUGCAAGCGUUAUCCGGAAUUACUGGGUUUAAAGGGUGCGUAGGCGGCUAUGUAAGUCAGGAGUGAAAGUUUGCGGCUCAACCGUAAAAUUGCUUUUGAUACUGCAUGGCUAGAAUUAGGUUGAGGUUAGCGGAAUGUGGCAUGUAGCGGUGAAAUGCAUAGAUAUGCCAUAGAACACCAAUUGCGAAGGCAGCUGGCUAGACCUGGAUUGACGCUGAGGCACGAAAGCGUGGGGAGCGAACAGG
RNAcentral lists this ribosomal RNA (253 nucleotides) under uncultured bacterium. RNAcentral's name for it is "partial 16S ribosomal RNA". It matches the Rfam family "Bacterial small subunit ribosomal RNA", at positions 524 to 776 of the family's 1533-position model. The record is from RNAcentral.